CGAUUCCAUUUUUUUUACUUCUAAUUUUUUUUAAUCUAUUUAUUUAUUUAUGGGUUGUUGUUUGUAAAUUUAGUUUUAAUGAAUUAACAAAUUCUUGUCCAUAAUAUAAAAAUAGAAAUAAUGAUACGGUGGGCAUCCCGAAUGAACAAUAAUACCACUGUUCAAGUAGAUGUAGGGUUUCUGGGUGUAUGUUUUGGGCCUCAUCAUUCUGAUUUUUACUUAAUACAUAUAUAAUUGUAUACCUGUGUCCAUAUUAAAUAUUAUUUCAUAGAUUUAUUUUCUAUUGAUGAAAUAGUGGCGAGGUCGGGUAUCUAGUCUCAUUUUCAGUUUACGAUAAAAUCCAAAGGCGCUUCGUGACGAGAAACUCUGGAGCAAUUUUAACAUUGUAAAACUCUAGCCUAGUUGGAUAUUAUGAUUGCAUAACAUGCAACACCUUUAUAAAAAAAAUUCAAGCUGUAAAUAAUUGCUAAGUAUGGAUAUCAACCCGGGGAAAAGUAUAAAAUUACUGUAAAAUGAAAGCACUAAGCUUCCGGUGGCAACAAGGAAACACUUCAAGGUCACAAGGUCUAAAACAAAGCUCGUGUCACGUGGAAUGCUCAUGUGAAAUUUGAGAACCAUAUCACCCACCAUGAAAGUUAUGAACAAUGUGAAAGUUUCGGUCAGACAGAUAAACAGGCGGACAGGCAGAAAACAGAACAAAAACAAUACCCCCACCCAAAACUUCGACAUGGAGGCAUAAAAAGGAAUAAAGGGCACACAAACAAAAUUAGUAGGUUGUGACAUGUACAAAUUUUCGUGUGAUGUCGUCAGUAAUAACCCCUUUAAUAACGCCCGUUAGUGGAGGUCUACUCAGUAGUUUUGUGUGAUCGCAGUUUGCGCAUCAAUUUGUACAUUAUAUGUGCGCGACUGUUUUAUUUGGCACCUUGCGAGCAGUGGCUUGAUCGCCUCUGUCAAUUGUGAAAUGACCAUAUGAAUUACAACUUCAAAAUAAUGUUUAGAUAUAACUUUUUAACGAAAGAGAAAUAUAGGAAUAGAAAACAUGAAUAACAAUCAUUGACAGAAAAAAAAAUGUUGAAAUGAAAUUGUUUAAACAAAAAUAAAGAAUUAAUAUAUAAACAGAGUAAAAAGACAUUAAAAUACAAUGUUGGACCAAAUACAUGUAUAUAGAAUGAAAAAAUGGAAACAAAAACGCUUAUUUAUAUUCUCUCAAUUUCUGAUCAGUGCGCAUGUGCAAAGGGAAAAUCCCGUCUGAAAAUAGAAAUGCGCAUACCUGAAUAUACGGCCCGCUUCAAUGUUGCGACGUCAUAGGUCACCUAAUUUGCAUCAAUUAUUCAUAGUUACAAGGAGCAAGGAAAGUUCUAUAUGCUCCAAUAUCACCGCAAAUCUGGGUCACCGAGUCAAUCGUGACGUAUUUGCAAACACACUACAUAAUCGUACAUGUAUUGAGAAUUUCAUCAUUUUUUGACAGCGACUCGAGAUAGAAAAAGGGAUUUUCUGGAAUAUCAGUUCGAUCUUUUGCAUAGGCCUAGAACAUUGUGAUCUGAUCAUGAAUGUCAUUGGAGGAGACGAAACCAAGUCAUACAUGACGACUUCCCAGGCACAGUCUCCGACCACAACCGUCAGCACUAGUACAAUUCUGACCACUAUUCGCCAAAGUGUCCCUGUAGAGCCCACGAUAACUGCUGCCCAAGAGGAAUACAUCACCGAUGUCCAUUCAUCUGAAGCGAAUUGGAAAGUAAUCAUACCUAUACCUAUAAUAAUAAUAGUAGUCUUCAUUUUUGUCAUUGGGUUCAUGGUAGCAUUGAAAAAAUGCAGACGAUCCAAAAGAGACGGCAAAAGUGAAAUAAAAUUGAAAGCAAACGGUCAACAUACCAAUGCUAAAAAGACUUUAGACUUGAAAUGUUGGAGUGUUAACCAGAGUGCAAAUGACAUCAAUGCCGACCAACAUCUUCCAGACUCGACAAAUGGUUCUCCCUAUAUACCGGAGGACGAUGAUCACAACAAAAGUUCGUUCCCGCUGCUUUCAAACGACGGCGCACAUGUGGUCAACUUAGAGAGUCCGGGAGACGAUAAGGAAACUUGAUGUUUGUUUAUAACAUCGAGGAAGCCAUGCAGAAGAGUCAACUUCAAACAAUGAAGUUCUUUAUAUGGAAGCAGUGCACACGAACACGAGAUCCUUCCGAAAACUAAAAGUUACCGUAAACUGUGAUCAGAAGAAAAUAGAAUGGAAGAAUUCAAUGCUAUAGACUCCUUAAAUCCAACAUCAUCAUCUAAAACAAUCCAAUUCUUAUCAGUUUCUUGUUUGGCUGUCAGUUUUAGAUAGAAUUUCAAGAAUUUCUUGUGUUUCAAUUCUUCACAAACGGAAAUUGUGAUGUCGCAGUGAUGAAAGAGUCAUUUCAAUGACAGCAUAACUUUAUAUGCAUUUAUUAUUAUAUCAAUGUAAAUAUGCUGUGUAAUCUCAGAAAAGAGGGAAAAAAGAAUGAAAUGCAUCUGGUUAAAGUAUACAUGUCUGUAUAUUGUAUUAUCAGCAUAACUUUAUGUAUGUGUAUGCUUAUAUUAAUCUAAAUGUGCUGUAUAAUCUCAGAAAGGAGGAAAUAAAGAAUGAAUGAAUUGAU
Molecule: long non-coding RNA, 2615 nt
Organism: Ostrea edulis (European flat oyster)
Lineage: Eukaryota; Metazoa; Mollusca; Bivalvia; Ostreida; Ostreidae
Exons: 2
Source: RefSeq, a predicted model, not a curated record